This is a non-coding RNA of Potamilus streckersoni, 74 nucleotides long. NCBI's taxonomy places the organism in Eukaryota, Metazoa, Mollusca, Bivalvia, Unionida, Unionidae. The record is from the annotation of a GenBank genome assembly.
GCUCCGGUAGUCUUGUGGUUAGAACGUCCGCCUCAGACGCGGGAGGUCGGGCGGUUCGAACCCCAGUCGAGUCA